GUGUCUCCCAGAUGGUCACUUGAUCUUCAGACCGGUGUUUUUCCUGCGUGGUGGCUCUCUUUGGACCUGUCUGGCUCUGGUACCAAACCCCAGGGACUGAAGAGAUUCAGUGAGAAAGCGUUGAGUGGGGGACACACACAGCAUUAUCAGGAGCUUGGCAUCUCCUCCUGUGGCAGAAAUGAGAUCAGAGGUCAAACGGAUGGUCAGAAGAAAAAAAAUUACAAACAGGUUUGGAGUAAAUGCGGACAGUCCAUGCUCUUACCCACACACUCGCUGCCAGCCAGAUCCACCAGCUGCAGUUUGGUCUUAAGGGGCGCCUGUGUGAUGCUGGGUCGUGGAGAAGGGCAUGGUGAGUGACAGGGUGAGUGGCAUGGUGAGGAGGCGGGGCUAGAGGAGCGUGAAGAGGCGGCCCUGCGGCAGCGCGGGCUCCACCACUCUUUUUGAGACACUCGCUGGACGUCCUGUCUGGCAUUCUGAAGCCUACGAGCUGCAGCACAGAUAGAUCACACUGUAUGAGUCCUAAAAAAGUCUGUUAAGGUAACAAAAUCCCUUGAAACAGGUCAAUUGAUUUUGCAGCCAUCUUGGUUGACCAUUAUGUACUACUGCCACUACUACUAGGUACUGGUAUUCUUAAUGUUUAUACUAAUGUUAUGUAUAAAAUAUUUUGAAAAUAGAUAAAAGAUAAUUGAAUAUAUGCAUAUUUGUAAUUAUAUUAUUUUAUAUUAUUG
RNAcentral lists this long non-coding RNA (728 nucleotides) under Danio rerio (zebrafish). RNAcentral's name for it is "si:ch211-195e3.7 (ENSDARG00000097384.2)". The record is from RNAcentral. Lineage: Eukaryota; Metazoa; Chordata; Actinopteri; Cypriniformes; Danionidae.